This 322-nucleotide long non-coding RNA is filed under the name Ananas comosus (pineapple). RNAcentral describes it as "long non-coding RNA (ACOM_LNC041839)". Lineage: Eukaryota; Viridiplantae; Streptophyta; Magnoliopsida; Poales; Bromeliaceae. The record is from RNAcentral.
ACACAAGCCCCUCGACGUUCGAAUUCAGGCAAAACGACGCAUAAAAUAUUAGAUUUUUCGCGAAUUUUUCAUUUUUGCCAAUUCCACCCCUCAACGAACAUUUCACGCUUUUUGAAGAUUCGUCCGUCAGAUUUUCGAUCGAAUCACGCCAUCGCGUUCAGCACGAUUGGGGCAUCGAAUCUACUAUUUCGUUUCGUCCGAUUUGCUCGCCAAUUUGCGACUAAACCCAUCCACUCUCCAACUUUCCAACACCAUACUUAAAUAUAUGUGUAAAACCCAUAAACUCCCUUUUUCUCGAAAAUCGUGCAUCAAAUCUACAAUC